UGUGGGCAACCCCCGGAAGCUGAGAGAGGCCAGGAAUAGGUUGUUCCUCAGAGCUUGCCACAAGGAAGCAGCCCUGCUGACACCUUGAUCGUGGACUGGUCGCUACCGGAACUUUGCCUGUUGCCCUUUUCGUGUUUAUCUUGUUAAGUAGUGCCACGCUGAAAGUAUAGACCCCCGGAGGGCAAGAUGCUAUCUGUGUAAACGGAGCUGCCUCCUGCUCUUACACACAAGUUGUUUUUGAAGUUGUGGCACGUGGAACGCUGCCUCAGUGUGGCUUGAUGAGC
Equus quagga is the source of this 284-nucleotide long non-coding RNA. RefSeq lists it as uncharacterized. The record is from RefSeq and is a predicted model, not a curated record. The transcript has 3 exons. Lineage: Eukaryota; Metazoa; Chordata; Mammalia; Perissodactyla; Equidae.